This 453-nucleotide ribosomal RNA is filed under the name uncultured bacterium. Its description in RNAcentral is "bacterial SSU rRNA". It matches the Rfam family "Bacterial small subunit ribosomal RNA", at positions 330 to 797 of the family's 1533-position model. The record is from RNAcentral.
UGCGAACUCCUACGGGAGGCAGCAGUCGGGAAUAUUGCGCAAUGGAGGAAACUCUGACGCAGUGACGCCGCGUGCAGGAAGAAGGUUUUCGGAUUGUAAACUGCUUUUAACAGGAAAGAAAAAAAUGACGGUACCUGUUGAAUAAGCUCCGGCUAACUACGUGCCAGCAGCCGCGGUAAUACGUAGGGAGCGAGCGUUAUCCGGAUUUAUUGGGUGUAAAGGGUGCGUAGACGGAAAUGCAAGUUAGUUGUGAAAUACCUCGGCUUAACUGAGGAACUGCAACUAAAACUAUAUUUCUUGAGUAUCGGAGGGGUUUGUGGAAUUCCUAGUGUAGCGGUGAAAUGCGUAGAUAUUAGGAAGAACACCGGUGGCGAAGGCGACAAACUGGACGAUAACUGACGUUGAGGCACGAAAGUGUGGGGAGCAAACAGGAUUAGAUACCCUUGUAGUCCU